RNAcentral lists this long non-coding RNA (424 nucleotides) under Heterocephalus glaber (naked mole-rat). RNAcentral describes it as "lncRNA (ENSHGLG00100050799.1)". The record is from RNAcentral. Lineage: Eukaryota; Metazoa; Chordata; Mammalia; Rodentia; Bathyergidae.
CUGCAUUCCAAGCAGUGCUACUCUGAUUGUUGAAAGAUUGGCUAUUAGUUAUCUAGGGAGUAUAUCUAUGAACAAGUGCAUUCUACUUAGAAAACCUCAUCUAUGUUAUAUUUGAAACUUUCAGUUUAUUUUUAAAGGACAGGAAAGUGUAGGGGGCCAUCCUAUGAGUUUGCUCCUUUCUAGAGGGCGAAUGGGGAAGAAAGACAAAAAGAGUUAGUUUAGAAUGCCGGGACAGGGGCUCUCUGUCUCGAGUUGAACCGGAGCCCUGAGCAUUUGGCUCACCUCACUUUUAUUCACUUGGACACGUCGAACUCGGGACCUUGUGCUUUUGAGGCAGGCAGUGGAACCACUGAGCUAAAUCCCUGGCCCCUAAACCACUACAUGCCGUGGAGAAAGCACUUAAAAAAAAAUAAUUGCUAGCUGG